This 714-nucleotide ribosomal RNA is filed under the name Talaromyces diversus. RNAcentral's name for it is "SSU rRNA". It matches the Rfam family "Eukaryotic small subunit ribosomal RNA", at positions 58 to 773 of the family's 1831-position model. The record is from RNAcentral. Lineage: Eukaryota; Fungi; Ascomycota; Eurotiomycetes; Eurotiales; Trichocomaceae.
CGACAGUCUAGUUAAGCCCUCUUUUACUGUGAAACUGCGAAUGGCUCAUUAAAUCAGUUAUCGUUUAUUUGAUAGUACCCUACUACAUGGAUACCUGUGGUAAUUCUAGAGCUAAUACAUGCGCAAAACCCCGACUUCGGAAGGGGUGUAUUUAUUAGAUAAAAAACCAAUGCCCUUCGGGGCUCCUUGGUGAUUCAUAAUAACUUCACGAAUCGCAUGGCCUUGCGCCGGCGAUGGUUCAUUCAAAUUUCUGCCCUAUCAACUUUCGAUGGUAGGAUAGUGGCCUACCAUGGUGGCAACGGGUAACGGGGAAUUAGGGUUCGAUUCCGGAGAGGGAGCCUGAGAAACGGCUACCACAUCCAAGGAAGGCAGCAGGCGCGCAAAUUACCCAAUCCCGAUACGGGGAGGUAGUGACAAUAAAUACUGAUACAGGGCUCUUUUGGGUCUUGUAAUUGGAAUGAGAACAAUCUAAAUCCCUUAACGAGGAACAAUUGGAGGGCAAGUCUGGUGCCAGCAGCCGCGGUAAUUCCAGCUCCAAUAGCGUAUAUUAAAGUUGUUGCAGUUAAAAAGCUCGUAGUUGAACCUUGGGCCCGUCCUGCCGGUCCGCCUCACCGCGAGUACUGGUCCGGAUGGGCCUUUCUUUCUGGGGAAUCCCAUGGCCUUCACUGGCUGUGGUGGGGAACCAGGACUUUUACCUGUGAAAAAAUUAUAGUG